This is a non-coding RNA of Cricetulus griseus (Chinese hamster), 445 nucleotides long. The record is from RefSeq and is a predicted model, not a curated record. NCBI's taxonomy places the organism in Eukaryota, Metazoa, Chordata, Mammalia, Rodentia, Cricetidae.
UCCAUGGCAGAUAACAAGCAGAGCCAGGACUCCAACCUCCUAGAGUCCAUCGCUGAGACACUGCUGAGUGGGCUGGACAGGAAGUGGGCACCACCAGUGGACUAGCAUGGAGGGUGAGGCGCAGCAGAGGGGACCAGCCAGCAGCCUGAGGCCACACUGGGGCAAAGCCCAUGUCCGAGCAGUCUUCUCCGGUGACUACUCCACAUCUGUUACUUGGACCUUAGGGUAAAAGGUCUAAGCUCACUUCUGGGUGUGAAAACCCAUCAAUCCUGCACUUGAUCCAAGCUCAAGACUUGAAAUCCCCAUCCUGGAAAUCUCCACCCUAGAAAAUUCUGUCCUCAAGAAACCCUAUAUAAAGCCUGCCUCCCACUCAGUUCACUGCUGCUUCCCACCCAAGCAGAGGUAGCCACCCUCUUAUGUCUUUCUCAAUAAAUCUCUUGUGUGA